This 2559-nucleotide long non-coding RNA is filed under the name Sus scrofa (pig). RNAcentral's name for it is "lncRNA (ENSSSCG00000042842.2)". Lineage: Eukaryota; Metazoa; Chordata; Mammalia; Artiodactyla; Suidae. The record is from RNAcentral.
ACUCCCCACGAGCGGUCCGUAGUUUGGGGUAGAAAAGAUCUUUUUCUUUCGAUAAGAGCGCAUUUCUAGCGUAGGUUGGGAAGCCGACACUCCCCGGUAACUGGCAGGGGGAGGCGGUUUGCGGGACGCUGCCGGGGGGCGCUGAGCUUUGUGCCAACCUCUCCCAGCGUCCGGCCAGCCAGGAGAAAGCUGCGAAUGCAGGAGGGGAUGAAGGCGGAGAAUGGGUGAGGAAGGAAGGGGCUGGGAAAUGGGAAGAGGUCGUUCUGCCCCCGAAACUACAUAAUGGCUGGGAAGGACCGCCAAACAAGACUGGAACCAGUAGGAAGUUGUACGGUAUGAAGAAACAGGCCCAAGGAAGCUUCCAGAUUUUGUCAGAUGGUAGAUUCCAAGUCUCCAACUUCUACUGCUGCUUGGUGCUGUCUAACCGUCCCUUAAUGGCACAGAUUCACUGGACAGGUUGGUUAUUCAUUCCUGAAGUGUUUAUGUCCUCUUGCUUCCAGGCUGAAGGAGCUGUGUUCUCCAGGACAUGUGAGUCUGAAACUGAAGCUAAGACAGUGUGGUUGGAGGAAUGAAUGGCCCCCAAAGAAGUUUACAGUCUCAUUUCCAGAACUGUGAUUAUGGUUCUAACAAGGGAAUUAUUGACAUCAUCUACAAGGCAUAUUAACCAUGAAGAAAGACAGAUUUCAACUGUACGUCCUCUUUCUGCAGAGACUGAAGAAGAGAGUUCCAUGGACCCCAGCUUCAAAAAACAUGACUCUACAGUGUGAAAUAAUUGAGGGUAAGCACUGCGAAUUUUUUUUUUUUUGGGGGGGCCACACCCACAGGAAUGUGGAAAAUCUCAGGCUAGGGGUUAAAUCGAAGCUGCAACUGCCAGCCUACACUAUAGCCAUAGCAACUUGGGAUCCAAGCUGGGUCUGUGACCUACACCACAGCUCAUAGCAACGCUGGAUCCCCAACCCCACUGAGUGGAGCCAGAAAUGGAACCCAGAUCUUCAUGGAUAUUAGCCAGAUUCAUUUUCACUGUGCUGCAACGGGAACUCCAGCACUGUGAAUUUGGGACAUGAUGUCUCCCACACUGAGUAGAUAGUCCUGUACAUAUUGAGUCCUGAAAACACUGAAUGAAUGAAUCAAAUAGCCUUUUUUGGAGAUCCACUGUACUGGUAGUAUGCUAUGUGUUUUAUGUAUGUUCUUUCAUUCUUCUAAUGUUGUUCUAUGGCUGAGGAAACUGAAGCUAACUAGAAGUAAAAGAAGCUGAAGAUCUAGAAUUGACAAGCAUAGAAAGGAGAUAUGAAUAGAUCUGAAGUUCAAGGGGAGGACUCCUGCAUGAGCAGGGCCUUAGUCUGGGUGUUGAGACAUGUUGUGAGAUUCACCAUCAUGGCUCAGCUGGUCCUAGUUCCAGGCCCAGCUGUGGGGGGCCAUCACCUCUGAGGUCUUCUCAGGCCACCAUGUGGCAGCACCAUUGUCAGGCACUUGUUGUCAGUGACAAAAAUGGACUUCCUAUUUGCUCCUUCUAAUAGCCCCUUAAAAUAACACAUGAGUCUUUCAUAGUUUUAGCUUCCACUUGAGAACCUGCAUUCAGACUAAAACCUUUUUGUUGUGGUUGAGAUUGAUUUGCAAUCUGAUUCUUGCAUUAGAUAGCCAUUCUUAGGCUAUUAGGAGCCCCAUAGAAAAUUGCUCCAAUGGAUCCAUAUCACUUUGGGAAGUUCCCGUGGAAUUGUUCUUCCGGAGAAAUGAUAAAAACUCUGGGUCAGUCGCUAGAGUGUCAGCAGAUUGAAUGGCCAAAAGAGAAUGCCUCCCAUCUGUGGCCCUGAAGUGCUGGGUCAGCAGAGGAAAGUGGUUAAAAUAAUUACCGUGGAGUCAGGGAAUUUGGCAGAUUUGGGAGAUCACACAUGUAAAGGGACCUUUUUUCCUCCGUUUUCUUAUCUCAGACCCAUGUGAAUUGAUGAUCAUGAGGGCACCAAGGGGACAGAAAUAGACGUUAUCCUGCUCCGGUCCCAAACCGGGAAGAAAGAAAUAACCAACCCUACUUCUCUACAUGGGUGGAAUGAGGGCUGACCAGUAUGCAAAUGGCAGCAGACAUAUGGUUAUGUUCUGAUUAGCUACUAGUGAUUUGAAGCCAUGCAUAUGUAUCAACUGCUGAUGUAUGUAUGGACAAUACAUCUGUUUACACAAAUAGACUUGAAGCAUUUUUUUUUCCAUUUUUCUUAAGGAUCUAGUACUGGAUGCCCAUAGGAAAAGAUGUUUUACUUCCUUUUCCCAUUAAUUUUGAUCAGCCAGAAUCAAACUACUUUGUUUUCUCUUAUUCUUACUUUUGUGAAGGAACUUUUUCUUUGUGUGUGUAGCUUUACUAACCAUAUUGUUUGGGCUCUUGAAAAAGGAGGUAUGGGAGUUCCCAUUGUGGCCUAACAAGAUUGGCAGCAUCUCUGGAGUACUGGGAUACAGGUUAAGUCCCCGGCCCAGCACAACAGAUUAAGGAUCUGGCAUUGCCUCAGCUAUAGCAUAGGUUGAAACUGCAGCUCGGAUCUAAUCCCUGGCCUGGGAACUCUAUGUGCCAUGGGG